Apis cerana (Asiatic honeybee) is the source of this 1217-nucleotide long non-coding RNA. RefSeq lists it as uncharacterized. Lineage: Eukaryota; Metazoa; Arthropoda; Insecta; Hymenoptera; Apidae. The record is from RefSeq and is a predicted model, not a curated record.
UCAUUUGAAUUUACGCUUUGCUGUGAAAAUAUAAGAAAUAAGUGAAGAAAGAAUAUUGAUAUAUAAGAAUUAAAAAGAAUAAUAGUAGUAUGAAGUAACUUAUGUAUAUCAUCAAAGCUUUUAAUUGAAUACAUAUAUCAAUUUGGUUUCAUGAAUAAAACAAGAAGAAUAAAAGAUGAAUAAAAGAAGAUUUAUUUAUAUCUAUCUUUGUUUUUAACUUUUGGAUUUUAUAUUCUUGUGGAUUAUAGAAGAACAUAAUCUUAAAAGAGGUCAUUUCUUUAUGAUAUUAAAUGUUUUUUUCAAUAAUUUUCUUAAUUCUAAAGGAUUCAAAUAUAAAAUAUAAAAUGAAUCACUUUAUGAUCUGAAUAGUGGAUAUCAAUGAUAUAUAAUAAUUUAAUUGUUAAUAAAUAAAUGAUUGAAAUGAAUUUGUAAUAAAAUUAAGUAAAACUGGUAUAAAAAAAACUUACCUGAUACUCUAAUUUCAAGAUAUAUAUGCAAGAAAAUGUAAAAAUCUAAAAAAUUGGUUUAAAUUGAUAUGAAAAUUGCUUGAAGUUGUAGUUUCAAGAUGUGAAGAAAUUCCAAAAUUUCAACUAGAAAAUGAAUAAUUAAUUAAUUUUUAAUAUGAUGUAUUUAAUUUAUCACAAUUAGUGAACAGGUAUAGAUUUCAAGUUAUAAUUGACUAUAAUAUAAAAGUGAAACUUGUCUAAUUCUAAUAUCAUGAUAAUAUAUAUCACAAUCGUUAAUAAAUCAUUAAUGAAAAGAAAUAUAACAUUAAAAUUUAUACAAGAAGCUUGUCUGAAGUUCCAAUUUUAACAUAUGAUCCUGAAAGUGCCAAAAAAAAUUGUGUAAAAACGAUUAAAUGUAAAAAUAAUUAACGAAAUUUCUAUAUGGUAUCUUCAAUGUAUUGGAAAAUGUUUUCUAUCCUUCUCGCACAAUAUUGCUUUCCUUGUCUUUGAGUUCGCAUACCUCCUUGCAUAUUAUGUUAUGCUAUUAACAAGUCGGAGCUUCGGUGAUCCAAACGCGAGAUGGCGUUGAUCAAAAUUUUUUAAUCGUGACCUAACUUAUCGGCUAAAUGUAUUUUAUAAUAGAAAUAUAAAUAUAAUUAAAAAUACACGAAUGAUCCUAUGUUAAAAAUUACGGAUUAAUGUUCAAUUUUAUUUUCUGUAUACUUUUUGCACGUUUAAAUAUGAAAAUAAAAAUUUCUAAAUUUUAUCUCA